UCUUCCCCCUGCUGCAAGUCGCUCUGGAUAAGAGCGUCUGCUAAAUGACUUAAA
This is a non-coding RNA of Salmo salar (Atlantic salmon), 54 nucleotides long. The record is from Rfam. NCBI's taxonomy places the organism in Eukaryota, Metazoa, Chordata, Actinopteri, Salmoniformes, Salmonidae.